UAGGGAAUAUUGCUUAAUGGGCGAAAGCCUGAAGCAGCAACGCCGCGUGUGUGAAGAAGGCCUUCGGGUUGUAAAGCACUUUUUGAGGGGAUGAGGAAGGACAGUACCCUCAGAAUAAGCCUCGGCUAACUACGUGCCAGCAGCCGCGGUAAAACGUAGGAGGCGAGCGUUAUCCGGAUUUACUGGGCGUAAAGCGCGUGCAGGCGGCACGGCAAGUUGGAUGUGAAAGCUCCCGGCUUAACUGGGAGAGGUCGUUCAAAACUGCCGAGCUAGAGUGCGGGAGAGGGAGGUGGAAUUCCGGGUGUAGGGGUGAAAUGCGUAGAUAUCCGGAGGAACACCAGUGGCGAAAGCGGCCUCCUGGUCCGCAACUGACACUCAGACGCGAAAGCUAGGGUAGCAAACAG
RNAcentral lists this ribosomal RNA (404 nucleotides) under uncultured bacterium. RNAcentral describes it as "bacterial SSU rRNA". It matches the Rfam family "Bacterial small subunit ribosomal RNA", at positions 355 to 775 of the family's 1533-position model. The record is from RNAcentral.